UACGUAGGUGGCAAGCGUUAUUCGGAUUCACUGGGCGUAAAGGGUGCGCAGGCGGCCAAGUGUGUGAGGCGUGAAAGCCCGGGGCUUAACCCCGGAAUUGCACCUCAAACUACAUGGCUAGAGCAUUGGAGAGGGUAGCAGAAUUCAUGGUGUAGCAGUGAAAUGCGUAGAUAUCUGGAGGAACACCGGUGGCGAAGGCGGCAUCCUGGACCGGCAUUGACGCUGAGGCGCGAAAGCCAGGGGAGCAAACGGG
This 253-nucleotide ribosomal RNA is filed under the name uncultured bacterium. RNAcentral describes it as "partial 16S ribosomal RNA". It matches the Rfam family "Bacterial small subunit ribosomal RNA", at positions 524 to 776 of the family's 1533-position model. The record is from RNAcentral.